Molecule: non-coding RNA, 117 nt
Organism: Nematostella vectensis (starlet sea anemone)
Lineage: Eukaryota; Metazoa; Cnidaria; Anthozoa; Actiniaria; Edwardsiidae
Source: Rfam
GUCAGGAUGGCCGAGCGAUCUAAGGCGCCAGACUCAAGGUUCAAUUCCUUCUCGUCAUGAAUGAAAGAGUGUUCUGGUCUCCGAUUAGAGGCGUGGGUUCUAAUCCCACUUCUGACA